GACGAACGCUGGCGGCGUGCCUAAUACAUGCAAGUCGAGCGGAACUGGGGGAGCUUGCUCCUUCCAGUUUAGCGGCGGACGGGUGAGUAACACGUGGGCAACCUGCCCUGCAGAUCGGGAUAACUCCGGGAAACCGGUGCUAAUACCGAAUAGUUUGGCGCCUCUCCUGAGGCGCUACGGAAAGACGGUUUCGGCUGUCACUGCAGGAUGGGCCCGCGGCGCAUUAGCUAGUUGGUGGGGUAACGGCCCACCAAGGGGAGGAUGCGUAGCCGACCUGAGAGGGUGACCGGCCACACUGGGACUGAGACACGGCCCAGACUCCUACGGGAGGCAGCAGUAGGGAAUCUUCCGCAAUGGACGCAAGUCUGACGGAGCAACGCCGCGUGAGUGACGAAGGUUUUCGGAUCGUAAAACUCUGUUGUGAGGGAAGAACACGUACCAACUAACUAUUGGUACCUUGACGGUACCUCACCAGAAAGCCACGGCUAACUACGUGCCAGCCGCCGCCGUAA
This 512-nucleotide ribosomal RNA is filed under the name uncultured bacterium. Its description in RNAcentral is "partial 16S ribosomal RNA". It matches the Rfam family "Bacterial small subunit ribosomal RNA", at positions 28 to 523 of the family's 1533-position model. The record is from RNAcentral.